RNAcentral lists this ribosomal RNA (471 nucleotides) under uncultured bacterium. Its description in RNAcentral is "bacterial SSU rRNA". It matches the Rfam family "Bacterial small subunit ribosomal RNA", at positions 1 to 524 of the family's 1533-position model. The record is from RNAcentral.
UAGAGUUUGAUCCUGGCUCAGAGCGAACGCUGGCGGCAGGCCUAACACAUGCAAGUCGAACGGAUCCUUCGGGAUUAGUGGCGGACGGGUGAGUAACACGUGGGAACGUGCCCUUUGGUUCGGAACAACUCAGGGGAACUUGAGCUAAUACCGGAUGUGCCCUUCGGGGGAAAGAUUUAUCGCCAUUGGAGCGGCCCGCGUCUGAUUAGCUAGUUGGUGGGGUAAAGGCCCACCAAGGCGACGAUCAGUAGCUGGUCUGAGAGGAUGAUCAGCCACAUUGGGACUGAGACACGGCCCAAACUCCUACGGGAGGCAGCAGUGGGGAAUCUUGCGCAAUGGGCGAAAGCCUGACGCAGCCAUGCCGCGUGAAUGAUGAAGGUCUUAGGAUUGUAAAAUUCUUUCACCGGGGACGAUAAUGACGGUACCCGGAGAAGAAGCCCCGGCUAACUUCGUGCCAGCAGCCCCGGUCAA